Molecule: ribosomal RNA, 447 nt
Filed under: uncultured bacterium
Lineage: Bacteria
Description: bacterial SSU rRNA
Rfam family: Bacterial small subunit ribosomal RNA
Source: RNAcentral
UCGGGAAUUUUGGGCAAUGGGGGAAACCCUGACCCAGCAACGCCGCGUGAAGGAUGAAGUAUUUCGGUAUGUAAACUUCGAAAGAAUAGGAAGAAUAAAUGACGGUACUAUUUAUAAGGUCCGGCUAACUACGUGCCAGCAGCCGCGGUAAUACGUAGGGACCAAGCGUUGUUCGGAUUUACUGGGCGUAAAGGGCGCGUAGGCGGCAUGACAAGUCACUUGUGAAAUCUCCGGGCUUAACUCGGAACGGUCAGAUGAUACUGCUUUGCUAGAGUGCAGAAGGGGCAAUCGGAAUUCUUGGUGUAGCGGUGAAAUGCGUAGAUAUCAAGAGGAACACCUGAGGUGAAGACGGGUUGCUGGGCUGACACUGACGCUGAGGCGCGAAAGCCAGGGGAGCAAACGGGAUUAGAUACCCCCGUAGUCCCUGAGCGGGCUGGCAAGGCGCAU